UACAGAGGUCUCAACCGUUGUUCGGAUUCAUUGGGCGUAAAGGGUGCGUAGGCGGUCGCGCAAGUCGGAUGUGAAAUCUCAGGGCUCAACCCUGAAACUGCAUUCGAUACUGCGUGGCUAGAGUGCUGGAGAGGAGACUGGAAUUUACGGUGUAGCAGUGGAAUGCGUAGAUAUCGUAAGGAAGACCAGUGGCGAAGGCGAGUCUCUGGACAGCAACUGACGCUGAGGCACGAAGGCCAGGGGAGCAAACGGG
RNAcentral lists this ribosomal RNA (253 nucleotides) under uncultured bacterium. RNAcentral's name for it is "partial 16S ribosomal RNA". It matches the Rfam family "Bacterial small subunit ribosomal RNA", at positions 524 to 776 of the family's 1533-position model. The record is from RNAcentral.